GCCCGGCUAGCGCAAUGGUAGCGCGUAAGACUUCUACUUUCUCUCUUCUGAUCUCAUAUGAGUUGGAUUCAAAGUGAUCUUAAGGCUGUGGGUUCGAGUCCCACGUCGGGCU
Podospora anserina is the source of this 112-nucleotide transfer RNA. It matches the Rfam family "tRNA". Rfam says of the family: Transfer RNA (tRNA) molecules are approximately 80 nucleotides in length. Their secondary structure includes four short double-helical elements and three loops (D, anti-codon, and T loops). NCBI's taxonomy places the organism in Eukaryota, Fungi, Ascomycota, Sordariomycetes, Sordariales, Podosporaceae. The record is from Rfam.